AAAUAGCAGGACAAUUUGGUCACUACAUCUAGCAAAAUGGGAAAGAAAACAGAGGAACAUGAGGCAAUAACGAAGUUAGCUAGGAAAGGAGUUUUUUCAGUUUAAAAGACUAAAAACUGACAAUUAUUUCGAAUAAGUAAAGCCAAGCCAAGCCAUUUGUGGUACUAAACUAGUCAACUCACAAAUCCAGAACAAUUCAAAGGAAGAAUACCAAAGUGAACAUUAGUCCCAAAUUGGGGUCUAAAGUUCACCGCUCCACUAUAUAAGGCCAUUUCUCUGCAACAUCUUCUAAAGAACAAACACAAAUUCCAAAAGAAAAUUGAACCUACUCCGCAUUUAGAUAAGUAGUCUUAUUGUUUCACGAAAACAGAUGAAUAAAAUAAAGCAACAAAACUUAUUUCCAGGGUAAGAUGAAGAUUAGAACCUCGCGAAAUGGGUAUUCAUCAGCUUCAAGCAUACGUACAACCUGGCUCAUUUUGGGUCUGUUCUCUGCAUCAUGAUCAACACACCUUAGUGCAACCAAAAGGGCACGUUUUAAGGCACGUGUACUGGGUUUAACUUCAAGGUUUGGAUCCACAACAUCCUCUGAUCUUCUUGCACCUACCAUCAAUUUUAGCCACUCAACCAGAUUGACCUGCCAUGAGUAUUAAGAAAUGCUUCUCAAAAAUCUGUACAUAAUAAUAAAGCUUUUGAUAAUCAGUAAGAACCAUGCAUCAUGAGGAUGAGAAUGAGAAAGAGUGAGAGGACUGCUGAAGGAAGUCACUAUCAAAAAUAGUAAACAAUGGUUUUGAAAUUCUGAACCUCAUUAGCAGGUCGGCCAUAGUCCACAGGGUCCCUUCCCGUAACUGCUUCAAGCAGGAGGACACCAAAGCUGUAGAUGUCGCUCUUCUCAUUUAACAAGCCAGUAUUAGCAUAUUCUGGUGCCACAUAACUGCACGAUGAACCAAAAUUUAUGGUCCAAUCAGAAGAUACUUCGUAGAUAAAUUAUAAUAGGUUAAAAAUAUAAGAAUUUACAUACCCAAAAGUCCCCAUCACUCUAGUUGUGAUGUGACUUUCACCUGAACCCAAGAGUUUGGCCAAUCCAAAAUCAGAAACCUUGGCAUUGAACUCAUCAUCAAUCAAAAUGUUGCUUGAUUUUAUAUCUCUGUGGACAACUUUUGGUUCUAUAGCUUCAUGUAGAUAAGAAAGCCUGCAAUUCAUAUGUAAGUCAUUUGUCCAUUGGUUGGGAUACAAAAAUUAAAUAAGAAAACUAUCAUAUAAAACACAUUUCAGUGAAAGAUAAAAACUUACGCUUUAGCAGUACCAAGAAUCACCUUCAUGCGGGCCUCCCAAGUAAGGGUGCCAUGUUGGCGCAUGGCCCCAUGUAGCCAUUGUUCUAGGUUGCCAUUGUUCACAUAUUCAUAUACCAGCAUCCUGUGCAAAUUGCAACACAUUGCAACUUAGCAAGAACAAGAAAAACUGAACCCAAAACACAAAUGUGAAGCUAUACGCUAGGCAGAAAGAGAGGGGAACAUUAGACAGAAGCCCUCCUAAUGUGAAAAUAGUAGACACGCCCAAGUCAUUAGGAAAAAUAUAAGUAAUUUAAUAUUAAAAUAAAAGGUUAAUAAUACCUGUGAACCCCUUCUAUGCAGUAGCCCAAGAGCCGCACAAGAUUUUUAUGCCGAACAUGACCUAUGGCCUCCACUUCAACCCUAAAUUCUUUCUCCGCCUGCCCCCUGUAUACCAGAUCAAAAAAGCAACUAUUAGAAAAGAAAAAGAAAUUUAGAGGUUUCCUGAAAGCACGGUGAUAACAAAGAUGGCGCAUUUGAGUUUAUAUCCUUACAAAUUAUUUAAGAGCUUUUUCACUGCCACAUCAGUUCCAUUGAUCAGCCUGCCCUUGUAAACAACCCCAUAUCCACCCUCUCCAAGCACAUUUUCUGCAGAAAAACGAUUUGUAGCAAACUGCAGAUCCCUAAGAGUAAACCAGUGGCCCCACCCAAGAUGAGAAACUUCUGGCAAGCCAAUUAAAGGAGAGGCUGUUACAAGUCCUCCAUAUGACAAUGACGACUGCUUUCGCACAUUCCCAGAGCUUCCUUCUUCCCCUGACUGUGAACUACAUGCCCUCUCAUGAUGAUAAAUUGAGCUGCACUGACUCAUGUUAUCAGGAUCACUUGAUUUGCUCAUGCCUAAAUGGACUAACAUCUUCUCUGAAUUCUUAUCACUUGCUUUCUCAGGUACUGAAAGAAAUAAAUUAUCAGGGUGAUCGUGGGUACUCUGAGCCCCAACCUUAUCAACAUUGAUAUCUUUAGAGAUAUUUGGUAUUUGGGUGACUGGGAAUUUGUCCAGUGAUCUUCGAGAUUUCCUCCGAAAUGUAACCCAUAUAGAUAAGAAACAUAGGAUUGAAACAAUAAAUGCGCCAACACAUAUACCAAUUACAACCCAUAGUUUUAAACCCAAAAAUCCUAUCUUCUUCGAUAAUUCCGCAUUCAAAGAACUUCCGGAUGACAUUCUUAUCCUCUGGAUGCUAUAUAUUGAACUUGGCUUGGUGUUCUAACUUUCAGUGCCAGAAAAAAAAAAAUUUAAGACAUUCCAACCUGGACAUGAGAAACAAAUCAUGUAACUCAAAGCACGUGAAAAGGGUCGCAGAUAUCUGAGAUUUCUAAUUUGUAAGAUGUGAUUUUGCUGAAAAAAAUGCAGGUUUAUUAUAUUGGCAAUAUUAGUUAAUAUGUCUUUAACUAAUCCAUCGCAUCCUAUUCCUAUGUAACACUCAAAUUCCAUAAUUGAUGAAUAGAUAAUCCUGCAAAAUUCAAUCUGGAAAUACUAGAUUCUUAACUGUCUUCAAAUAUUAAUCAUAUUAAAGAAGAACCAAAGGUGCCCAAAAGUAAGUAGAAUCCGAUACAAUAACUGAGAAGAUUGAUGCUUUAUUAUUUUUAAAAGUUUAAGAAGCUUGAUUACACUGGCAUUAAUGGUUUCACAAGCAAACAGUGAGUGAAUACCAGAUAAAACGCCGGCAACACUAUAAAUUUCAGAUUCCAUGUAUAAAGCGAGCACAUGCCCACACCAACAUAUAAAAAUUAAAUUCCAAUUCUUCAUAAAAGAGAAAGGGAAAAUCUCAAACAGCAUCACUUAUGAUCCAAGCAAGAGACCAAUAAAGAGAAAUGUGAGUGAGUCUGUGUAAAAAGUGUUUCAAAGAAGAAAGCAUUUACCUUUGUAGCGAUCUAAGCUAGCCCCCUUGAUCUUCUUCCUUGAGAACCCAGAGAAGAAAAGAAGGGGCUUCUUUUUGAACCAAGACAGACUCAAUAAGCAUAGAUAGGCCAAUGCAGACCUGAAAUAACUCGAACCCACCAAAACCCAGAUGUCGAAAAAGGAAAGGUUUCCAGAGGAGUAGUUUACAAGUAGAGGGGGAUGUGUCCUCAAGUGGGCCAAAAAGAAUUCAGAGAAGCAUAAAAAUAAAAAUAAAUAAAUUAAGAAGAAAAGAAAAAAUAAGGAGAGGCAAGCCAGACAAAAAUCUAAUCUUUCAAGAGAAGGGCAGAGAAAAUGGAAAUGUGGGAGAAGGGGAGAGAGAAAGGAAAGGAAGACGUGAAUUUAUAUAUGUAAAAUAUGGGGUGGAUUUUAGAGGAGCACAAAAGAAAAGGUGGGUAAAAUGGUUGGUGGGUGUUUUGUCUGUGUGAAGGAGAGGGGCCUCCAAAGCAAGCUGGAAAGGAAGCUUGGCUUGGUUUGCAAUGGAGGAAACCAGAGAAUGAGAGAGAGACGGAGAGAGAAACAGUAAAGAAAAAGCAAAACUGAGGUGAACAGAGAUGGGGCAUUUAUAGCUGGUUAAGAAAACAAAUUGAUUAAGCCAACAAAAGUAAAGUGGAAUACAUGUAGAGAGAGAGAGAGUCAACCCAACACUAAAACAGGAGGGAACUGCAAAUCUAGCUUGCCCUAAGGUUUAGUUACCAAACUGCCCUCAUGUCUUAAAGCAAAUCCUGUUUGAAAUGAAAUCUUAAAAUAUUUAACUUUCAGGGAAGACAGAGACCGUAAUAGCCUGUCAUUGCAUGCUUAGCAACUGACAGACAAAUUGGAGGCGUGAUGGAGGUCCAUAAAACUUAGCUCCAGAGACUAAAAUAUAUUUUUGUUUUUAUUAAUUAAGCAUUAACAACCUUGAUUACUUUGUCAAUAAACUAUCUUCCUUUCCCUUUUUUUUUUUUUUUUUUUUUUAACGAAGAAAGAAAGAUAUAUUAAAUGCGAAUAGAGCAGUUUACAUCAUGGGCAAGGCAAUGAACAACACACCAUAUGCUUGCUUUACCAGAUGAAAAGCUUUGUUGUAGGCUUGUCGCUGUAACACCUCCACAUUUUUUGGAGUUCUUAUCAUUUCAAUUAAUUACUUUUAUAGUAAGAAAAGCAUUUGUCCUUCUUUUUGGUAAAUAAUUUUUAACCAUUUGUCUAGGUUAGGUGAUUGGAUCAAACUUCUAUUUAUAUGGAUAAGGUAAUAUUUUGUUGCUAAAAAUAAUGCCUUAACUCUUGCUUUACAAACCAUUUAGAAUGUAUACUUGGAAAACAAUAACAGAAUUUUUUUAAAAAUGAAUAUGCCUAUGCAUUUGCAUUGCACACACAUUCUUGAAUGAUAUAUUUGAUAAAAAAAGAAGAAAAGAAAACUAAUGAAUUUAAAUGUCAAUAAUCAAAGUCAGCAUUGUUAGGCCCCUCAAAUUCAAAGAAAAUUUAACAUACCAUGGGUGGAAUUUUGACCUUUUACAUAAAGUAAUUUCAUUCUUAGAAUAGAAGGGUAGACGAGACUCCAAAUGCGUAGACGUUUAUUUUUUCAGAUGAAAUAAAUCAUGAAUUUGUUUUUUUUAAUAAAUGAAACGAGCAUGUGAAUUGUACCCCAUGAAAAAACAUAUUGUCUAAUACGGUACGGUGAAUUUCAUUUGUGCUUCUCACAUCGCUCCGUGAACACUCCAAUGAAUGCAUUAGUGUAGAUACAUUAUUUUUUAACCAAAAACAUACGUAAAUAAGACUACCUUGUACGUAAUAGUCAUAAAUCUAUAUAAAUUUUCUUUAAGUUAAUGUUUGUAUGUAUGUAUCUUCACCCUUUUUGUGAAAAUUAAUAUUAAUUUGUUCCAACGAUACAAAUUUGUUGAUGAUGUCACAUGUGGUUUUAAGCCUUCAAAUUAAGAUUUUGAAGAAUCCUUGUGAUAAAUUUUAGUCACUCUAUAAUCCAAAAGAUGGAUUGCCGAAUCUAAGUAAAAUUAUAUCUGUAUCUCGAGAAUUCUUCUUAUUAUAAAUUUGGGUUAAUCAAUAAUUUAAAACAGGGAUGUCCAAAUCUUAGUAAAUUUAUAUAUGAGAAGUAUCCCAAUAGUUCUCCUUGUGAUAAAUCUUUGUCACUCUAUAAUCCAAAAAAUGGAUUACAGAAUCUGAGUAAAUUUAUCUCCAUAUCUCAAGAAUUUGAUGUAGAGCUAUCAAGAUAAGGAUUUCAAUAAUUGAUGUAAUUCAAAAAGAGGAACCACUAUAGAUAUAGAUGCAUUACCAAAUCUGAGUAAAUUUAUGCUUAUCCAACUUUAUAUAUUUUUUUAAAUUCAUGGAAAGGUAUAAUUAUAUGAGUUUUGACAAAACCAACAAAAUUAUUUAAAAACAUGUUGCAACGGUUCUGAAGGGUAAAAUUGUCAAUUAGAACUUGAUUAUUUGACUAAACCUAACCCUGUAAACUUUUAACAGAGUAAUUAUAGUUUAUGAUAAACAAAUGUGCCUUUCUUGAUUACCAUCAUGGCUUGGGACUUGGGGUCUCAUAAAGCCCCCAAUUGGGAGAAGGAACAGAGUCUUUGAUUUGAAGUCUAACUUUUGAUUAAAAAUAAAUUAAAAUAUUUUGGGGAUAUUUUAUUAUGCUAACCCAAAACUUUAAAGUAAACCUAUUGGAUUGGGCCUUUCCAAAAGGGUUAAAAAAAAAAAAAAAAGAAGAAGCAACCAAUGAGAUUCAUCUCAAAGGGCCCACAUCAGAAAUCUGUGAGGCCAAAAUUUUGAUUUGAAUGGCCAAUCCCAUUCUUCCAAUUGUUCUAAAUCAUGUGCUUUCACUUCCUUUCCAUUAGCCUGUAAUGGAUUAGACCAAAAUGGAUAUGAUUUCCCACUGCACGUGCAUGUCACGUGAGAUGACAUUGAUAUGACAUAAAUGACCCCCUUCACUUUCUAGUCAGCAGGCUCGAAUCUAAGCUCGUGUCACCUUCUGUUCAGCCAUUGCUGUAAAAUGGUAUUUUAUUUUAAAUUAAUUCAUCUAUUAAAAAGAAUUUGUUAACUGAGUGUGUUAAAGGAAAGAAAUUGGUCAACUAUUGUGAUUACCUCAAUCUUAGUAAUUAGCUAAGUUUACGAUCAUUACAGCUACUGUGAUUUACAUACUUAGAAUAGAUUCCAUGCUUACUUAGAAUAGAACUUCCAUUCUGUAUAAAUCUUGUACAUCAUGAUCUCAAGGAAUCAAUACAAUAUAUACAGCCUUCUACAUUCUUUCAUGGUAUCAGAGCACCAACAUAGGUGACUCUGUCCAGCACGUCUUCCGCUACCAAAACCAAACACACAAACAACCAACCUACACAGCCCAUCAACAUGGGUGAUGAAAAAUCAUCCGGAUCUGAAAUCAACAUGUCUGAUCCACUUAUCCUACACCAUUCCGACUCACCCGGUCUGGUUCUAGUUUCGAAACCUCUCGAAGGCCAUGACUAUGGUCAAUGGAGUCGCUCGAUGCGAAUUGCCUUGAGCGCUAAAAACAAACUAGGAUUCAUUGACGGGACUAUCAAAGCCCCAGCAAAAACUGAUGCCAAAUUCUCCAUUUGGCAGAGAUGCAACGAUAUGGUGUUAUCCUGGAUUUUGCACUCACUACAACCCGACAUCGCAAGCAGUGUACUUUACUGCACCAGCGCAUCCAUGGUGUGGAAUGAUCUUAAAGAUCGGUUCUCACAAGGCAACGACUCCCGGAUUUACCAAAUCCGUCAAGAAAUUGCCGAACAUCGACAAGGCCAUCUUUCGAUUUCAGAGUAUUACACCAAACUCAAGGCCUUAUGGGAUGAAUUGGAUUCAUAUCAUGAACCCAUCAUCUGCACUUGCGAAGGUUCCACAACACGUGCUUCCAGAGAAGAGAAGGAGAGAGUCAUGCAAUUUUUAAUGGGUCUGAACGAACCUUAUUCAACUGUGCGUGGGUCAAUUCUGAUGAUGUCACCGAUCCCAGACACACGUCGUGUCCAUGGCCUGAUCCUCCAACACGAAAGGCAGCUGGACGUGGCAAAUCGACAGACCGGAUCCCAUGCCAUGCAAAUCAUACGUUCUGCAAACACCAAGGGCGGCACCAACCCAGGCAACUCGGCAGCAGCGGCGAAACCUUCUGGUGCUGGGGACGGAAAAUACAGCUCCAACUUCAGGAAGUCUCUAAAAUGUUCUUAUUGUGAUGGAGACACCCACACCAUUGACACUUGCUUUUUCCUUAAUGGAUUUCCUGUAGGCCACAAACUCCAUGGGAAGAAUGUCAAGCCCAAAAACAAACGGGCUGCUUACACUACUGAAAAGGAUCCAACCCCAGGGCCCCACGUCAAAUCCAAUGACAGCCCCACUUUCACUACUGAAGAAUACAAUCAACUGAUCGCUCUUUUACACGAUCGACCUGGUAAUUCUCAUCUUGCAAAUGCAACAGGUAUUGUUACAUCAACCUGCAACCUUUCACAGCAUGUCCCACUUUCAAAUUUCUAUUGGAUCAUGGACAGUGGAGCAUCAGAUCAUAUUUCGUGUUUUGCACCUUCACACAACACAGUCAAUACUCAACAUGAUUUUGUUGGUUUACCUAAUGGCGGGAAAGCAGCCAUUAAAAACAUUGGAUCCAUUAAAGUGUCUGACACCUUAACUCUAGAUGGUGUUCUUCAUGUACCACAAUUCAAUGUGAACUUAUUGUCUGUGAGCAAAUUGACACGAGGAUUGCAGUGUAUGGUGACUUUUUUUGAUAAAUUUUGUGUUGUGCAGGACGUGAAUACGGGGAGGACGAUUGGCCUGGGCAAGCAAUUUAAUGGGCUCUACUACCUCAAAGCCACCCAAAACCCACAUCUAGCUCAUCAUGUUCACCACACCUCCCAUCUUUGGCAUCAACGUCUGGGACACCCAUCCAACGCCCCUACUCAAUUUCUUUCCAAUAAAUUUCCAGAAAUUAUCUGUGAUAACAAUCAUGUUUGUGAUAUUUGUCCUUUAGCAAAGCAAACUCGCUUAUCUUUUUCUCCAUCUACUUCAAUGUCAUCUCAUGCACCUUUUGAUUUAAUUCAUUGUGACAUUUGGGGGCCACAUAAAAUUCACAAUCAUACCGGUGCCCGAUAUUUUCUCACUAUUGUGGAUGAUUUUACCCGUUUUACAUGGAUCCAUCUCUUAAAUUUUAAAUCAGACACACAAGGGGUGAUAAAAUCUUUUUUCUCUUGGGUCAAAACCCAAUUCAAUCUUCAUGUCAAAACCUUGCGUGCCGACAAUGGGAGUGAAUUUCUUUCCCUCCAACCUUUUUUUCGAGACACCGGUACCUCUUUCCAACACUCAUGUCCAUAUACACCCCAACAAAAUGGCAUCGUCGAACGAAAACAUCGCCAUCUUUUAAAUGUGGCUCGGGCACUCCGUUUUCAGGCCAAUAUUCCUUUACGUUUUUGGGGAGAAAGCUUACACACUGCAUGUUAUCUCAUAAAUCGCCUUCCAACACCAUUACUCCAACACCACUCUCCAUAUGAACUUUUACACCACAAAACUCCUGAUUAUUCAUUUUUACGAGUUUUUGGUUGUCUGUGUUAUGCUACCAAUCUCCUUCCCAAACACAAGUUUGAUGCACGGGCCCGUCGAUGUGUUUUCUUUGGUUAUCCCCUUGGUCAAAAGGGUUAUCGCCUUUAUGACCUCAGCACACAAAAAAUUUUUUCCUCUCGAGAUGUGGUUUUUCAUGAAAAUAUAUUCCCUUUCUCUACCACACCACCUGAACCACAAACUGACACUAUUGUCCUACCCACUCCAGCCCAUGACCCCUUAUCCCAGACCCAGGAAAGCCCCACCUAUUCUUCUUCUCCUCACUCUCUUCCCCAUCCGGCCCAUAGCCCUCAGCCCUUGGCCCACGACCCACCCCUCACUUAUUCACCCUCCCCAUCUCUUAUCCCACCCGUGCCCCCUAUUCUCUCUGGUUCUUCUCCUUCAUCACCGACGCCCACCCAUGCAUCUUCACCAUCCUUCGAUGCCACGACGUCACCCUCUCCGGCCCUUUCGUCCCCUCCACAACCUCUUCCUCCUUCUCUCACCGACGCCAAUCCCAUUUCUCCCGACCCACCUCUGCGCAAAUCCACCCGAUCUACCAAACCCCCUCCCCAUUUCAAGGACUACCAAGCCCACCAUGCCGCCCUGCUUGCUCCAGGAGUUCCUUCCCCCAUCACGUCAGGUACUCGCUACCCCAUCACUCGGUAUGUCACUCAUUCCAAUUUUUCGGAACCUCAUCGUUUUUUUGUCAACAAUAUCUCCCAAUUGGUUGAACCUAACACUUAUGAGGAGGCCCGUCACAACCCCCACUGGGUUGAGGCUAUGAACUCCGAAAUUGCAGCUCUGGAAGCGAACCACACUUGGUCGUUCGUUCCGUUACCAGCUGGCCAUCGUCCGAUUGGGUGCAAAUGGGUUUUCAAACUCAAGUACAAUUCUGAUGGUACCCUGGAGAGAUACAAAGCUCGCUUGGUCGCCAAAGGGUUCACCCAGCGUGAGGGAAUCGAUUAUACUGAGACCUUUGCUCCUGUUGCUAAACUUAUCACUGUCCGUUGUCUCCUCACUGUUGCCUCUGUUCACAAUUGGCUGCUUCAUCAGAUGGACGUGCACAACGCUUUCCUUCAUGGCGACCUCCAUGAAGAGGUCUACAUGCUUCCACCGCCAGGUUAUCAACGACAGGGGGAGCACACUGUGUGUCGUCUCCACAAAUCCUUAUAUGGUCUUAAACAGGCAUCUCGAAGUUGGUUUCGUAAGUUUUCCUCUGCUAUACAAAAUAUUGGUUUUUCUCAAUCCAGAGCAGAUUAUUCUAUGUUUACACACAAACAUGGUAAAUCCUUCACUGUUAUAUUGUUGUACGUUGAUGAUAUGAUAAUUACUGGAAAUGAUGAUGAUGCCAUACGAGAUCUUAAACACUUCCUUGGCACUUGUUUCAAAAUCAAAGAUCUUGGACCUUUAAAGUAUUUUCUUGGAGUUGAAAUUGCACGGUCCAAAUCUGGGAUUUCUUUUUGUCAACGGAAGUAUACACUGGAUAUUUUGGAAGAUGCAGGUUUACUUGGUGCAAAGCCUACAAAAAUUCCUAUGGAAGCCAAUGUUGCACUCAUGCCUACAGGGAGUGACCCUCUCAAGGAUCCUACUUGCUAUCGCAGACUUGUUGGCAGGUUAAUCUAUCUCACAAUAACAAGACCCGAAAUCACAUAUGCGGUGAAUACUCUAAGUCAGUUUAUGCAUGAACCCCGAAUGCAUCAUUUUGAGACAGCACGUCGGCUCCUCCACUACCUCAAAUGAGCUCCUGGCCAAGGGUUAUUAUUCCCUUCACACGGGCCCCUCCACUUGACAGCUUACUGUGACGCGGAUUGGGCACGAUGUCCUUUUACACGGCGCUCAGUUACUGGAUACUGUAUAUUCCUUGGCAAGUCACUCAUAUCAUGGAAAAGCAAGAAGCAAGUCACUGUCUCAAGGUCAUCUGCAGAAGCUGAGUACCGCUCUAUGGCAGCCACCACUUGUGAACUCACUUGGUUGCGAUAUCUCUUACGGGACUUACAAGUGGAACACAAUCAGCCAGCCACCUUACUCUGUGACAACAAAGCAGCCCUCUACAUUGCAGCCAACCCAGUGUAUCAUGAACGGACCAAGCACAUUGAAUUGGAUUGCCAUACCGUUCGUGAGAGAAUUCAAAAUGGGGAGAUCAAGACAGUUCAUGUGCAAACCAAACAUCAAGUUGCAGAUAUUUUCACUAAGCCGCUACCUGCCCCCUUGUUCCAAUCCCAUCUUGGCAAGUUGGGUGUAAUUGAUAUUCACACUCCAACUUGAGGGGAGUGUUAAAGGAAAGAAAUUGGUCAACUAUUGUGAUUACCUCAAUCUUAGUAAUUAGCUAAGUUUACGAUCAUUACAGCUACUGUGAUUUACAUACUUAGAAUAGAUUCCAUGCUUACUUAGAAUAGAACUUCCAUUCUGUAUAAAUCUUGUACAUCAUGAUCUCAAGGAAUCAAUACAAUAUAUACAGCCUUCUACAUUCUUUCAGUGUGGAGUGGAGGAGGAAUAUUUUUCAUGCUUCGGGGCAUGGGGAAGCAAUUUGCACCACAGAAGACAAAUGUUUGCAUAUUCGAUCUCGGACUUACAAAUUUGGAUAAGUUAUAUAUAUAUUCACAGAUUUGAACUGCUAAAACCUGGAAGUUGUCCAUGCACUACUUCACAGAUGAAAUCCUGUUAAAGCUUUAACACUUGAGGUGUUGAGGUAUUGAAUUAUCGCAUGUUUGAUCUCUUUGCAUGUGGAAGUUAAGCAUCUUCUUUUUGCCAUAUGAACAGCAAAUAGUGGAAGUAACUCAUACAAUCAAAAGUUCGCUCUUUUAUAUUUUCAACUGCUAGGGUGCUUAUGGUUGAUGAAACAAUAACAUUCACUCUACAUUCCCUCACAUGGUAUGAUUUUUUUUUCUCUUUAUUGGAGUGGCUCAUGUUGUUCACAAUACAAAUGUAAACUUUGCAGCUGCUCUAAUUGUGACAAGAAAGGAAACAUGGCGUAGAAGGGCAAUCUGAAAUCGGGUGCAAGAAUUUUGUGCUCUCACCAAAAUUCUCAUAAACAGUCACAUAAUAUCUCUUAUCGUAGGCAACGAAGAUGUUGAUGCCAAAAAAUGGAAGACCACUAUAGGACUCAAUUUAGAAGUGAUUAUUUCUUCGGUCUUGUGGGCCCUUCGACAGAGGGGAGAGUAAUCUGCAAAGAGAAGGGAAAGACCAAGGUUGUUUGACUCCUUAUAAAGAAAUGAUUUUUGAAUUCCAAAUUGCUGCUGGACUUCUCAUAAAGAAAGAAUAUGAUUUAUCUCUUUGUUUCCUUGUUGAUCAAGAAUGCUCAAGGGAUCAAAACUCAAAUCACUCCCCUUGUGCUGGACCCCCUAUUUAAUUUCUUCUUCUUUUUGGCUUACGGCAAGGAUAAGAGACAGAGAGGCUUUGCACGUUGUGAGAGAGAGAGAGAGAGCCGAUUGCGCCCCCUGAGAAGCCGAGGCCAGGUCAAUUUUUUUUUCGAUGGCCAGUUGACCGAUUCUACUAAGCCGAGGCUAGCCGCCAAGUUCCUUUUACUGUAGUCGUAGGUUGACCAACUAAGAGUGGGGUAUUCUCCUUCAUGUUGGUCUUGAUUUGUGGUUAUGAUCGUUUUCUUCUUUUUACAGUUGCUUUGACACCAUGUCAUUUGAUGAAGAAAGCCGAUCGUCUAACUCACAAGCUCCAUUAUAUAUGCUUGGUGGCUCUUAUGCCUAUAAGAAAAGAUUCAUAGCCAACCUGUACUACGUCACUAAGGAGGCACAAUUUCAGAGAUGAUGAUCUCAGUUUUCUGCAGCUAUUCCUGACAGGACCCGAUCCAAAUUCCGCUUUGAAAUCCGAACCAGACUCUGUGUGUGUCCGACACCUGGCGAAUGUCGAGCACAAAUGACCUAUUUGCCCCUCAACACAAAACAUGAUAAAAUAACAAGGUUGACUUCUACUGAAAAAUCAGUAGAGUUUCCAUUGUAACUGGCUCAAUACCAAAACAUUUUCACCUGCCAAACAAGUAUACAUAUAUACAACCAACUACCAGCAUACGUAUAUAUACAUUCCAACAGUUCAAAUCUCAGUCUAUGACAAAACAUCAGAGCGACUACUAAGAAUUUACAAAGGAGUGAAUCCGUUUACAAACAAAAUCCUACAUCAGAAGAAAGGCGCGGAAGAUGGGAAGUGGCCCGGUGGUGGAUUUCUGUGCACGUCUACUGCCUGGGGGCGCAAAACAAUAAUAAGGGUGAGUGGACUCAAAAACAAAAUUGAGAAAAUAGUAUAAGAACAUACUAACCCCACUAUAAAAACAGUUAUACAAACUAGGUUAUUUUCUUUAUUUUUGAAAUCAAUGCAUGUAUAUAAUUAUAUACAUUUGAAAACAGUUUAAACUAUCACCUAGGUGUACCCUUAUUUCCGUAAAUUCCUUAUAUCCGUCAAUUCCUUGCAUCACCAUGGGUGACACAUACUCGCAGGUCUCAGUGACACGAAGUUAGUCCGAGCCGCAACUCGCAGGAUUCAGGGGAUCGUAGUCCACCUUUAUCCGCAUUACUCGCUCCACACGAGUUCGAGUACCAAGGAACUCGUGGGGCAACUGUUAAGCAUGCUGACUAAAUCGAAGGCAACAAAUAUAAUCCGAAGGCAACAUUUAAUAUCUGGGUACAAGGUGGUUUAAGAAAAUAUAAAGUUUCUGAAGAAAAUCUUAUGAAUAAUUAACUUUCUGUAACCUUUAAAAUUCUGCUGCCAUUUAUCUGAUAAUGAACGAGAAUAUCUGUUCCUAUAUUCUUUAAAGGAGAUUUCAUUCGGCAGCAUGCAACAUAAAAUAUUUAACAGAAUAAAACAACUUAUAAUUGAAACUAAACUGCUUAAAUUCAUUUAUUAAAACAAAGAGUCCACUCACUGAUAGUCUGAGCUCGCUGGACCUCUUGAAGGUCCCUCUUGCGGGUCAACUGGUACCCGGGUGCCUGAUUCAAUGACCAUAAUAUUCUAUUAAUACAAUAUAUAGUAUUAAAUUAAAAACCCUAUCCCUGGCUCCUAAACGUACGUGCAUCAAUUUAAAGUGAUCCCUAUGCCCAUAAAAGCUUUCCUUCUAUGUGGGAUAGUUUAGCGGUAUCUUAGGACUCAAAUAGCGCUAAAGUCCAAAAAGUCAAUCCGAGACCCCACCGGUCCAUGACCUCACAAUAUGAUCCGGAUGCCGCUAGAAGGUCCAAUAUAUUUAGGACACAUGUCCCGAGGGUAUUGGUGUCGAUCGGACGGUCGGAUUGAUCACAAUCCUGUAAUCGCAAAAUUUCUAACCCUAGCUCUAGUGUUCGCGUUUUUGAAGUAUCCGGGACUCCGAUUCACAAUCCGUCGAAUCCUACACGAUUCUAAAAUUAUCUAGAGUAACAUAUCGGAAACUGGUUACGAUCCAACGGCUCAACAGUAUUGAACCCGAUAAUCUCACAAUAUGGAAAAUCCGUUCGAGGCUCAAAUAGUAUCCAAAUUGAGAUCCGCGAAUUCCUAUGCGCUCGUGACGACAUAAGGAUCGUAUCAAGACACAGUGUCACUGCACUACACUCGUCCACACGCCGCCGCACGCGCCGGCAGCGAUGGGUGUCCAAAGCGAUUACGCAUCGCCGGAAAAUCUCAAAACCAAGGCUCCAAACUCCUAUCCUAGGUAUAACACCAUAUUUGGAACCACUUUUGUUCUUGGACCAACCCCAAAAACUGACUGGAAGUGGCCGAACACGGAGGCCGAAAACCAGCCGAAUUUCAAAUUACAGACUGAGCUACCUACGGUCAAAAUCGAUACAAACCUACCCAACCAUCAGCUAGAUCAUGGAAAAUAGGUAGAAAUCCAUACAUUACUCGACAAAUUUAGAGGAGAAUUGAAGGAGAACGAGCGGGUUGAAGUUUUGACAAAACCGAUCGGUUUUCUGCAAAUUUCGGCGACGUCAGUGGUGGAGUGGAGCGGCUGAGGGCCGAGACGUAUAGAGGCGGACGAGCUGGUUCUUUUGGGACCCGUGCCGACGGAAUUGAUGGCCGGACGUGGUGGUGGCGAGGAGUAGAAAAAAUCGGCUGGGGGGUGUUCGCGCGACGGGAGAGAGAGAGAGAGAGAGAAACUGAGGUUUUAUAAAAAAUUCUGAUUUUUUCAAUUUACCAAUUUGCCCUUAGUGAUAUUUUAAUCGUAUUUUCUUCGUUAAAGCUCCGAUUCGAGUUCACUUCGUGUCUAUGAACUCAUUUCGUCGUGCUCUACGCAACAGUGUAUGUGGAAUUGUCAAAUUCCUUUUCGAUCAAAAAGUCAACUUUGCGUUCAUAAUUUAUUCCAACGGCAAAAUUGUCUUUCCUCAUAAUAAAUUACUAAUUAUAAAUGAAUUUUUGGUUUGGGUCAUUACAGUUCCUACUGGUGUGAAUGUGAGUUUGGCUAAACCGUUCUCUAAGGUUGCGGAUCGUAUGGACCUGUAUAAUCCAAAUGCGAGGAUAAUCACAUUUCGCCCAUUCUAUUUAUUUUUAGGAUUCAAGUAUCCCAUGUCUAGGUUUUUCAAAGAAGUGUUCCAUGUCAUAGGGUGUGCUCCAUGUCUGUGUACCCCAAAUGUUUAUCGUGUUAUGAUGUGCUUUGACAACUUGAUCCACCUUUUCAAGUUGGGUCUGCCCUUGCAAGAAUUCUUCUUUUUCUUUGAAGUAAGGCGUAGUGAGAAAUUUGCUCAACUCUGCUCGUUCUGGGAAAUACUGCUUUGAUAACCUCAGUGCUGGUGACCACGCUUGGAGUAUGAACGUGUUAGAGAUUAGUGGAGAUUGGAAGGACAAUGUGAAUGAUGGCCCUCAGAUUCCCAUUACGUUUUUCCAACGUAUGUCUUGAUCUACUUUACCGACAUACUCAAAGUUUUUUUUGGUUAUAUAUGUGUUCAUGUGACUAACUUUUGUCUUUUACUUACAGUUGAUAUGAUCACAAAAAAGGAUUGAUACCUAAUUGGCCAUGGCUAUAGUCCAUAAGGGCUUAAACAUUCCACAGAGGUUCAAAUUUAUAAGGCUAUAGAGAAAUGGAAGGCGGCUUGCAUUUGCCUAUAAAUAAAUAUCUUAUAUCCCCUCCUUCUUUAUAUCCCACUUUCUUCAUCUUUCUGACUCUUUCGCCUAUAGCAUCUAUGAAGAUGUUUUUCUUCAAGAAGGCCACUUCACCAAAUUAACACUACAAAAUGCAGCAAAAAAAAACACUUUGAAAAUCAAAUACGAAGCUUGUACGAACCAACAAGUGGGCAUCAUAGCUGCUAAGGUAAAUCCAGAGGAUCUCAAAAGGAUAGGUGUGAGUAGCUCCGAUGAGAAUGAUAAAAAAAAAAAGGAUGGGUCUGAGUAGCUCUGAUGAGAACGAUGGAAAUGAGGGUAUGACUAAGAUUCCAGACACCAAUAUGCCGCACUUUGAAAUACAACACUACCUUCCUAGGAGUUUUCCAAUCUAUCUUCAAUAGAGGAUUAAAAGAAACAAUGCUGGUCAUUUAUGAGAAUAAGGAGAUCAAGUGGACCAUGUCGUCCUCUAACCUGGCUGGAUGUGGAUUCACAUUGGAAGACUGAGCAGUCAUUCUUGUGUCUACACAAUUCCUUGCAAAACCAGUUAUGAAAUAUGAGGCAGACUUGAGCACCAAAUGGGGAUCCUCAGGGGCUCGACCAGAGGUGCUACCUAUUCCCGUCACCAAGAGCCAUUUUGGAGGCGAGGACAAGGAACCUGUUAAGAAACCCGAGAGUGGAAAUGGAAAUGAAGCCUCUGACGGCUCCGACAGCCCAAAUGGCGUCGUCUCACCCAAUGAUUGUCCUAAUAUGAAGAGCAACAGACCUAGGUUUAAUGGCCAUGAAAAUGGAGCAAUACUCGAUCUGAAACUCAAACUAGUUGGUGGUACUAAAUAAGCUAAUUGUGGUAGUGGUCCUAAUAUGAAGCUAGCGGGCGAACCUAGCUCUAAUGGCCAUGAAAAUGGAGCAACAAUUAAUUUGAAACCUAGCCUAGGUGGUAAUGAAAGAGCUAACGGUGGUGGUAGUACUGUAGGGGAAGUUUCUGUUGGAGAAGAUGAGCUUUUUGAGAAGGUUCUGGAUAAGAUGUUCGAGAUAUUUGGUGGUUCAUGUGGGAACAAGGAAUUUUGGCAACCACUCCGGUGAUGCCAUGUGGAAAUUGGAAUAUGCCAUAGGUCAUCUUGAAUAUGCCAAUUAAAUUGAUUUAAAAUGGAAAAUAUCUCCAUAAGUCAAGGAUUAUGAUUUCAUUAAAUCUCCUUGAUCUCCUUAUUAAUGGAAAGGAAUAAUUCCCUUAAAAAAAUUAUUCUCUCUCUUGAUUAUUCCAAAUAUGGCACAAGGUGAUAAGACUAUAGAAAGACAAGUAUAUUUCACAAAGAGGUAACUUCCAAACCCAUGAGAACUCUCUCUCUCUCUCUCUCUCUCUCUCUCUCUCUCUCUCUCUCUCUAUGGCUCUCACGCCACCUCAUUCUCCCCCUGAGAGCACUCAUUUCCUUUAAGAAAUACAUGCAUCUCCAUGAGACUGUAUUCUAACUUAGGCAUUGGAGGGCCCUUGGCCAACACCACACCUGUGUUCUCCAAUUGACCGUUCUUGUUUUGCAAGGAAUCUUAGAAGAACGUACUAAAGUGGUGCGAAGAUGUUCUCCAAAUCUGCUCGAGAGGAAAAUUGCAUUCACAGUUAACUCAUAGAAUAAUUUUAGAAAAGAAAAAAAAAAGCCUAGGCCGACUAGGAAGAAUAAAGAAUAGCAAUUAAAAAAUAGGUCCCGCAAAUGCCACAUUGGCACUUAACAUUUUUAUUAACAGUUUGGCUAAAAGAGGAAGUAAAUUGUAGGUUUUUCGUGAGUUUGAGUAUGUACUUGUAAAUGUCUCCAAAGAUGGGUAUGGACUUGAAAAUGGCCUUAUAGUUUGGGGUAUCUUAUGUAGUUUGUCCAUAAGAAUAAUACUUGAGACAUUAACUAAAUAUGAUUUUAUUUUAUUUAUUUUCUAUCCAAGGGUGAUUGCUGUCAAAUUUGUCUUUACAUAUUAUUAUGAUUGUUUGUAAGAAAUAAAUAAAUAAAUAAAUAAAUAUAUAUAUGCAUGUGUGCAUAUAGUCAAUGAUAUCAAUGCAAAUGAGUAAUGAAAUUUGAAUAUGUAUAGUUUAAGGAGGCUGUAUUCAAUUAGGAUUCUAGAGCGUUUAAAAAGAUUUUGUUUAAGUGCCAAAUUUCAUAGAAUUUGAUGGAACUUUAGAAUUCGUAUAGAACUUGAUAGACUUUCAAAAGACUUCUAUAUAAUUUUUUAAUGAACUUUCUUAAGAUUUGUAUGGCUUUUAUUCCAGACUUCUAUAAUUUCUUUAACAUAUUUUUUAAAAAACAAAUGCUAAGAGCCAACUAAUUAGUCAUAUCAUCCACGAGAUGUAGCAUCAAUCAUGAGUUGCAACAACAUUCUUCUCUCUUCUACACUCCAAGCGUUACAAUCUUGUUUGCUCUUCCCUUUUCUAUUUACUUGUUGUGUAUUUUCAGACUCUAUUUGAGUGGUGCAGCUAUGAAUUUUAUCAUAUCAAUAAAAAAUAAAGCAUACAAAAUAUACAAAACCCAUAAAACACUACAAACGUUGAUCCCAAAAAUGUACAUCAGCAACCAUAGACUCCCAGUGCCACGUAGGUAACUAAUAGAGAGAUAUGAUAGAAACCCUAAAGACGGAACCAUAUUGUAAUAAAUUUAAAAGACUAGGGUAUGUGAUUGUUAAAAUUUAAAAAGAUAAGGGCUAACAUGUCUUAAGAGUAUAACCACAAGGUAUUAAACUAUAAUUAACCACAAAAAACAAAAAAACAAAAAAACAAACAAAUGAGAUGCGAAAAAUCAAUAAUGACCUAAAGGUAUUGUAAUCUAGCAUGGUAAAAACGACAUUGCCUAUUUAUCUUUAUUCACGAAUUGACCCCAACGUGUCUUGUCUUUUAGCAUUCAAAACUAUUCCUAAAUUUCCAAUUGGUCCUUUUAAAGUUGAGGACAUACAUGGUUUACCGUAUACUUUCGAUUUUGUUAACUCUACUAAAGGCGUUACGCUCCAAGUUAGUAUUCAAUAUUAGAAGAAGUUUCAAGUUCAAAUCGCGUUCAAAUCAUCCAUACUAAUAAUGAUAUGACUUGAGAUUAGGUUGUUACAAAUAUGACUAGGAUCAAAGACACCCUUAAUUGAGAGUGUAAAAACAAUUGUGCUGAAGAUAAUUGUUUAUAUCAUAUUUGAUUGCUCAGUCAUUCUGCGACACGUGGAGCAUGGGACCUAUAAAAGGAGCCCAUUGAGCCCAGUAAAAAUACUGAGGUCUAUAAACAACUAUCGAUAGUAGGUGAGCCUUCGGCAACCUACUUGCCGAUCUGACUAAAGGCAUCUCGCAAGCUAUCUCUUACACGGACACGUGGUAGCUCCUUAGGCAUCAAAAUACAACUCGAACUCGAAGUGCACACCUCCCAAGAAUAUAUAAAUAGGGGCACAAGUCCCCAAAAGUGAGGUAACAGUUACAUUCGGCUACUUAGCCUUUACUGUAUCAAAGUUACUAUUCAUUCCAUCUUUAAACUAACUUAAAUAUUGGAGAGCCUUCGAUCGGCACCACACCGGUGCCCAAAGUCUUGCCGUUGCUCUUUUCUUGCAGAUAAUCCUUGUCUGCCCAAGAGUCCUAAAGGUCGAAGAUAACAUCACAUCUCUAAGUUGGGUCCACAAAUAGUUUUCUAUUUUUGGGCAUCAACAAUAAUAAUUCUAAGUGAGAAGAUAAGAUUAUUUGACUUUUUAACAUUUGUCUUGGGUCUUUGUUGUGCCAGCUCAUUAGAUACUCCUGCAUCAGUUGCCUAAUUUGAAGCUUUAAGCCAAGGUUGUAGGCACCACUAUGAUUGUCAGUUGAUGGGCAUAAGACAAUGGAAUUCACCAUAUAUGUAGCUUCUCCUAUUUACAUAAAUAUUGUGGGUAAUGGGUUUUAGCCUCUCCAUAAAAAGGAAGGAUUGCCCACAACAAGCUUGUUGUCAGUGGUCCUAUAUAAUCAAGAAUUUGUCAAUGAAUAAAGAUUAGAAGUUACGUGAUGAAAAUAUAGACUCAUAGAUGCGUGCAAUUGGUGAUAGAGUAAAUUUAUCUUUUUUAUUAUGUGUCGAAAUCACGUGAUAAGAUAGAUAUAUUCAUGAACAUAUACGACUGAUGGUAGGGCAUAUUUGGAUGUUUUGGUGUCACUAGUCUUAUAUAUUUAUGAGUUUGUCUCUCUCGUUAAACAUUGAAGUCACAUAAUAAGAGAUAUAGACUCUUAAAUAUAUACAACUGAUGAUAUGACAGAUUUACCUCUUUUAUUACGUGUCGAAAUCACAUAAUAACGAAGAUAGACUCACAUAUACAUAAAACUGGUGAUAGAACAAAUUUUCUCCCCCUUUAAGACUUUAACCAAUGCUUGGCUGGUUUUAUUUAUUGGAUGAAGAAAAUACUCUUCUCUCACUUCUGAUUCUCUAGCUCUCCUUCUAGGCCUCAAACUCCUAACUUAUAGGCCCAGCUCAUCUCAAUUCUAAAUCCUAAUAUAUAUUCUUUCACAUGCUAUUUUCUUUAUGAGAACCUCUAAAUUUGACUAACAUUCCCACUUUUAGAAUAAACCCAAAAGAAACAUGAAGAUCUUGUAGCCAUGAAAGUGUCUCAGUUUUUUAUUAAAUCAAUUUGCUGCUUUCUUCCAUAUCUGUCCCUCCCUGUUACAUUCCAAUAAGAUGCUCAUUUCUUGGAUGCUUGCACGAGGCCUUCUGAAAAUAUUCCAAGUGUUUUUUUAUUAUCUGUCUCCCACAUCCCUCCCAUUAUCCAUGCCUUGCUCUUCUUUAUUUUAUCAUGGAACAUAAUCAUAUAUCUAUUUUACACUUUAGUAUAAUGAAAGGCCACGUAACAUGACAGUAAAAGUUGCCCCAACUUUAUGCAAACUCUGGGUAAAUUAAAAAGUAUACGGAAUUUUGAAGUGGAAGGUUCUUGGGGUGAGGAAAAUGAAAAGUGUGAUCUUGGUAUGUUUAUAUGUUAUGACUCUUUAUUUGAUAGAAUUGAUUUUUUAAUUUAUUCAACAUCUUUAAUACAUGAUAUUUGAACUUAAGACAUUCUCCAAAAAAAGUGAAGAUUUACGUACGUAUAUACGAGAAGAUGCACAUCCGCUAACAUUAAGUAUUAUUUUACUGGAAUGAUUAACAGAGCCAUCACUUAGUUUACUGAGAAAUAUUUAAUUUUGUGUGUCAGUAGAAGCCUGAACACUCCUUUGGAUGCAAAGUAUAGGAUUAACUGUAUGUAUCAUAUGUUUGCAUGUGCAUUUCUUAUAAUUUAUAGCUUUGUUUGCAUCUUGAAUGCUACCUAGUAGGGAAGGUUAUAUCUUCUACUCUCCAUUUUCUACUAAAUCAUUCAUACUGUGAUAGCUUGCACUUGAAACAAAAAUGUUUGCUUUGCCAUUAUGAAUCCAAUCAUUCAAGCUCAGAUUGAGGCAUUCGAGCUCUUUCUCCCCUACUUCUUUGGUCCCCUUCUCAACUAAAUUGAGUAAAUUUUAAGCCACUUCAUUUAAAAAUAAUAAUAUGAAUCUAGCAGCUUUGCACAUGGAUUGAUGUAGAGCAAUUUUAGUUUCUCUCACAUUUUAUGCACAAUGUAGCAUUUGCCUAUACGGAUUCGGAAAAUCGAAAUCAAGUUACAUCUUAGAAUGAAUGUGAUGGUUGUAUUGUAUGAGAUAUGACACUCUUAAUUAAAUGGAAGUUCUAUAAUCUUCAUUAUUAGAAACUACAGAAAUAAAACAAUGCAGAUAAUUGGACAUCCGAAGUUCUGCAGACUGCUGCAGAAUUUGGUCUGUUGCUUCAUCUGCUGCCUUCUCCCUGUUACUUUCUCUUAUAUAGAUGCUCAUGAGUCAUAUGCAUGUCAGUUGGGUUGAUUUUUGAAGUGUCCUCUCUCUUCCCUUGCUUUGCCUCUAAAUUCCAGUCCUUACUUUUGUUUUUUCCACGACAAGAUGAGUUUUAUCAGCAUUUUCUGGAUGAAAACAAAUGCCAAUGAGGCUUUUCCCAUUUCUUGCAGUGCAUCAUAAUUCUGAUUCACUUCAGUAAUGUAAGCAAAUUGAGCUUUAUAAGUAAGGUGAAUCUAUUCACAUGCAAAUUUUUACUCCAAGAAAUUGUUGAUGCAUUCUUUUGCACUGCCGACACCCAAGUAAGUUUCAUAAAAAUAACACAUUAACAGAAAUUCUGUUUCACAACAAUUGUUACAAAUCUGCUUCUUUCUCUCAAGUUCUCAGCCUCACUUUCCAGGAACAAAGUUUGUGGCAUAUGACCAAGCAUUGUUGUUAACAGGAUCAGCUAAGUGGUCAGCCAAGUUCUCAAUUGGCCCCUUUCCUGUAACAAUGGCCUGCACAAAGAAACCAAACAUGGAAAACAUGGCGAGUCUUCCAUUCUUCAGCUCCUUCACCUUCAGCUCAGCGAAAGCCUCUGGAUCCUCUGCAAGGCCUAAUGGGUCAAAGCUCCCACCUGGAUAUAAUGGGUCAGUGAUCUCUCCGAGAGGCCCACCUGCAACUCUGUAACCUUCCACUGCACCCAUCAAGAUAACUUGUGUGGCCCAAAUUGCUAAAAUGCUUUGGGCAUGGACUAAGCUUGGGUUUCCCAAGUAGUCUAGCCCACCCUCACUGAAUAUCUGGGCGCCAGCCUUGAACCAUACAGCCUCACCGAACUUGACCCCGUUACGGGACAAGAGUUCAGGGAAAACGCAGCCCAGAGCACCAAGCAUGGCCCAUCUUGAAUGGAUAACUUCAAGCUCACGGUUCUUGGCAAAGGUCUCUGGGUCAGCUGAGAGCCCAGCAGUGUCCCAACCGUAAUCACCAGGGAAUUCUCCAGUGAGGUAAGAGGGGGCCUCGCCAGAGAAGGGGCCCAAGUAUUUGACACGGUCCGGGCCAUACCACGGGCUGCCAGAUGAUACAUUUUUGGACUUGGAUGCGGUUUUGCGCAUGGUAAUUCGGCCCUCACCAACAAUGUUAGAAACAGAGGAACCGAGCUUGACAGCUUGGCCAGCAAGAGAAGGGGAGGAGAGAGCCAUUGUUGAAGAAGCCAUUUGAGAAAAAUGGAAGUGUAUUGACUACUGAGUAUUUCAGUCUCUCUAGACAAUGUGGGAAGGCCGGGUGCCUGUUGUUGUUGUUUUGGUAGAGACGUUGGUGGGUGUAUGUAUAGGUUUGAGGGUGCAUGAGGUCCUUAUCUUUGUGAUAUCUUCAUCUCUUUUCUGAUUGGUGAAAAUGAUGUUCAAGGAUUUUCAAGACGGAUCUCUUCGUUUGAGCUUUGAUGCUUUUCCCGUUGGCUUGAUAUGCUCCACUACUUUACUUCCGAACAACAAAACGAAAAAGGAAAAAUUAAAAAUCUGUUUUGGAUAUUAUUACAUGCUUCGAAUGAGCUCUAAGCCAAUUGAAUUUAGUCACUACUGUUUGUGGUGGUGAGAAACGUCUUCAUUUCCAGGUGGCUUGAUGUGUUCCACUAGUUAGGUCUCAAGACAUGCAAGGAAGAAGAAAAUAUAUCCGUUGAUCUCUGUAGCCAAUAGAAAAUGGCCACAUACUCUUUUCAUGAGAGAGAAUCUAAGGAUGAUAACUUGUAACACAACAGACAAUUGGUAGCGUUGUUAUCCACCAUAGUUCUUCACAUGAAUCCAGAAAUGACAAGACACCAUAGUUCUUCCGUUUUCACUUUCAGAUGGACAAAUUCUCACCCUCCCUCACAUGUAUAUAUUUUUGGUAAUAAAUUAUUGGAGGGGGGAGUUUACACAAAUAUUUAUUUGAUAUUUGGGAAUUUCGAACUUCUGCUCACAUAAGUGGAGGUGGAAGAGCUAUCAACUAAGUUAUACCCUACUAAUAUUCACAUAUAUUUAAUCCAACCUAAAAUGUCCACUAACUAACUAUUUUUUUUAAUGAGAGAAAGGAAACCAACAAAGACACGACCCUUUAGGGCACGCAAGCCCAAAUAGGUCCAAAUAAAAAGAAGAACCAAUAGAAAGAGGGAGACCACUCUGCCACAGCUUCGAAGGCGAAAGCAAAUGACCAAGGGAAGCAAGAGCAUCUGCAACCCCAUUGACUUCACGAAAGACAUGAGAGAAGGAGAUUUGAUCACAUAAUAUUGUGAGAUGUAGAAUAUCUUGGACAAGCUGAUUAAUGCACGAGGAAGUCGAGCAUCGCUUCAAAACUGAGUCAAUGACAAGCUUAGAAUCUCCAUGAAAUAAGAGUUUGGACCAACUCUUGGAAACAACAUAAGCCAAGCCAUCUCUAAGCUCCAAACAUUCCACCACAAUAAUAGAAUUGCGACCAAUCUUCUUAGCACCAACUAGCACAGUAUGAGCAUUAUCAUCUCUAAUAACAAAGCCGAUCGUAGCAUAACUAUUUAUUUAGAUAAAGAGUUUGUAAGUCAAGUAGUUAAUAAUAUUAUUAUUCAUCUAUUCAGUGGCGGAGUCAGGAUUUUACAUUAAAGGAGGCCCUUUAAAAAAAUUUAUAAAAUAAUUCAAAUAGGAGCACUAACUGGUUAGUAAGUUAAUACGAUACUAAUUACUCGGUUUAGCUCACUGCAUAAUAUCAUUUCAUAUUGAUUAAUAAUUUAUUCGUUCAUUACAAUCAUAAUUGUCCUUAAUUUCAUAUUAUAAAAUAAUUGAAUAUUAAUCUCAUAAUCUACACUAUUAAAGAUUCAUACUCAUACGUUAAUAAUUUAUAUUCCAACAGAGAGAAUAAAUACAAAAAAGUUCAUAAAUCCAAUAUUAAAGUACCCUACUACUCAGACAUGUAAAAAGGAAGGGAAAAAAAUCACAAAGCGUAAGCUUAAGUUAAACAAAAGAGGAAGAGAAAGAGAAGGGAAAAAAUUAGGAGUUUUUAGUGCAAAUAUCAUAACAUAAUCUAGUAGAUUUAAUUGAAAGUAAAAGAGUGAUUAAGAAGUUUAAUGGUUAAUUUAUACUACAAUUAUCGAUUAGUCGAAAUGGUCAUUGGUAACAUAAAUAUAUACUUUGUUGAUCAUAAUAUGUCACAUAGCAUUUUAAUCCUUACUAAUUGUAGUAUAAAUACUAUUAAAUCUCACAGAUUGGGACUCUUACCAAACAGUUAGAAGUAAGAUGAAUAUCAGUGAAUUUAGAGCCAGGUGAACUUGUCAACAAAACAACAAGUAGAUUAAAUGAGAGGUAAUCUACAGCAAGGCGAUAACUUAUCCUUUCAGAUCUUGAUGACCACUAGAAUUACAGUCUAAUCCAAUUUCAUCAACAUAAUUAAGCACAAUUGCCAAAACCAUUAGGAAAAGCACACUUCUCUCUCAAUCUCAGGCUCACUUGCCGGGAACAAAGUUUGUGGCGUAUGCCCAGGCAUUGUUGUUAACAGGGUCAGCCAAGUGGUCAGCUAAGUUCUCAAUUGGUCCCUUCCCUGUAACAAUGGCCUGCACAAAGAACCCAAACAUAGAAAACAUGGCCAGUCUUCCAUUCUUCAGCUCCUUCACCUUCAGCUCAGCAAAAGCUUCUGGAUCUUCUGCAAGGCCUAAUGGGUCAAAGCUCCCACCUGGGUACAAUGGGUCUGUCACCUCACCAAGGGGCCCACCAGCAAUUCUGUAACCUUCAACUGCACCCAUCAAGAUAACUUGUGUGGCCCAUAUUGCCAAAAUGCUUUGGGCAUGGACUAAGCUUGGGUUUCCCAAGUAGUCUAGACCACCCUCACUGAAGAUUUGGGCCCCAGCCUUGAACCAAACAGCUUCGCCGAACUUGACUCCGUUACGGGACAAGAGUUCGGGGAAAACACAGCCCAAAGCGCCGAGCAUGGCCCAUCUUGAGUGGAUGACCUCAAGCUCACGGUUCUUGGCAAAGGUCUCAGGGUCAGCCGAGAGCCCAGCAGUGUCCCAACCGUAAUCGCCGGGGAAUUCUCCAGUGAGGUAAGAAGGGGCCUCGCCAGAGAACGGGCCCAAGUAUUUGACACGGUCAGGGCCGUACCACGGGCUGCCGGAUGAAACAUUUUUGGACCUGGAUGCGGUUUUGCGCAUGGUAACUCGGCCCUCACCAACAAUGUUAGAAACAGAGGAACCGAGCUUGACAGCUUGGCCAGCAAGAGAAGGGGAGGAGAGAGCCAUUGUUGAAGAAGCCAUUUGAGGAAAAAUGAAAGUGUAUUAUUUGUGAAAAUCUUCAGUCUCUCAGACAAUGUGAGAGGGCCGAGUGCUUGUUUUCUUUGGGAAGAAGAGACGUUGGUGGGUAUUUGUAUAGGUUUGGUUCAAAGGGUCCUUAUCUUUCUGAUAUCUUCAUCUCUUUUCUCAUUGGAGAAGACCAAGUUUGAAAAUCUCUACCCUUCCAGUUGGCUUGAUAUGCUCCACUAGUUUAUUACUUCCCAAAACAGAAAGAAAAAUUAAUAUCAAAUUUGGAAAUUAUAUGCUUUGAUUUCUAGCCACUACUAGAAUUUUGUCCACGCACACUUUCUUUAUUUCCAGUUGGCUUGAUAUGCUUCACUAGUUUUUCUCCAGGGACAAAAAAAAAAAAAAAAAAGAGAUCAGAAAAAUCAAGUUUGGAUAUUUUAUAUUACUUCUAUCUUUGGCCAAUGGAAUUUGCCCACGUACUCUUUCGGAUGAGGGUGAUGAGAGAGGAAAAAUCUGAGUAUUCAAAUGAAUAAUUUAGAGCAACUCUAUUUUAACAUGAUUAUGUCUAAUUGAAAUUGUAGAGAAAAUUACUUCUUUUAUUAUGUGUUCUAAUCUAAGAGUGUGUCAGUUUAGAUGCAAUAUGGAUGCGGUUUUGGACAAAUGUGGCGGUUUGAUCUUAAUUUAGAUGUAGCUCUGGAACAUAGCUAAUGCCAUAGAACUUACAUUCAGAGAUUAGCACUACAUAUCCAGCAGCUUGUGCUGAGCCAUAAACUUAUAAGAGACUUCAGCUGCUGCUCUUACCAUAGAGGAGAGUGCUACAAAAUGUUGAGGGCAUUUCAUAUUGAAGAGGACGGAAGUCUAGCUUAAGAGUUUAGAAGAUCUUGGGCGUCUUCAUUCAUUGCUAAUUGAUUUUUAGUUGAUUGGAAGUUUAAAUUCUAAUAUAAUAUCAUGAUAGGCUAUUCAUGUGCCAAGCCAAACAAUCCCACAUGUUCCCCAAUAAGAAUUGUUCACUGAUUAAGCACAAAAGAAGCGACACGCGGGGGCGUGUUGAGAGUAUCUCACAUGAAAAGAUUGAAGUUUAUUUUAAGAUUUUAAAAGAUCUCUUAACUAAUUCCAUAGCAAUCUUGUUUUUAUUUAUUUAAUUGAGUUUAACUUGUAUUAAACUCCAUCACACACUGAUAUUGCAUUUUCAUGACAAGAUGGAUUGGCUGUGAAGGUGGUGCAACUUUUUAUUUAUUUAUGGCGUUUUACUUUCUAUAUUUAUUCAUCACCAUUUUUUUGGUAUGAGUUGGUGAAAACAAAUGCCAAUUACGAGUCUUUCCUCAUUUCUUGCAAGUCACAAUGUUGAUUCAUCGAGUUGUCAGAACUAAGAACAUUGAGUUUUUGAAGUAAGGUGAAAAAUUCCCAUACAAAUGUAUACUCAAAGAACAUUUAUCAGAUUUGUUCUUAUAUUCCUCUGCAUUGACCACCAAAUUUCAUCAGAAAAAAAAAAAAAACAAGAACACUUCAAAGAAAUCCCAUUCAAAACAGUGGCCCUCGCAAUUUGUAAAAACGCUUCUCUCUCAAGUUCUCCAUGCACCUCACUUCCCAGGAACAAAGUUUGUGGCGUAUGACCAAGCAUUGUUGUUUAACAGGAUCAGCCAAGUGGUCAGCUAAGUUCUCUAUUGGUCCCUUUCCAGUAACAAUGGCCUGCACAAAGAACCCAAACAUGGAAAACAUGGCGAGUCUUCCAUUCUUCAGCUCAGCGAGAGCCUCUGGAUCCUCUGCAAGGCCUAAUGGGUCAAAGCUCCCACCUGGAUAUAAUGGGUCAGUGAUCUCUCCGAGAGGCCCACCUGCAACUCUGUAACCUUCCACUGAUAACUUGUGUGGCUCAAAUUGCCAAAAUGCUUUGGGCAUUGACUAAGCUUGGGUUUCCCAAGUAGUCUAGCCCACCGUCACUGAAGAUUUGGGCCCCAGCCUUGAACCAAACAGCUUCUCAGAACUUGACUCCGUUACGAGACAAGAGUUCGGGGAAAUCAUAGCCCAAAGCCCCGAGCAUGGCCCAUCUUGAGUGGAUGACUUCAAGUUCACGGUUUUUGGUAAAGGUUUCUGGGUCAGCUGAGAGCCCAGCAGUGUCCCAACCGUAAUCACCGGGGAAUUCUUCAGGAGUCAGUACGGUAAGAAGGGGCCUCACCAGAGAACGGGCCCAAGUAUUUGACACGGUCGGGGCCGUACCACGGACUGCUGGAUGAAACAUUUUUGGACUUGGAUGCGGUUUUGCGCAUUGUAACUCGGCCCUCACGUCACCAACAAUUAUAGAAACAGAGGAACCGAGCUUGACAGCUUGGCCAGCAAGAGAAGGGGAGGAGAGAGCCAUUGUUGAAGAGGCCAUUUUAGAAAAAUGAAAGUGUAUUGUAUUGAGGGUUGCCUUUUAGACAAUGUGGGAUUGUCAAGUGCCAAGUGUCAA
This 28185-nucleotide long non-coding RNA is filed under the name Prunus persica (peach). Its description in RNAcentral is "long non-coding RNA (PPER_LNC003762)". Lineage: Eukaryota; Viridiplantae; Streptophyta; Magnoliopsida; Rosales; Rosaceae. The record is from RNAcentral.